This 67-nucleotide ribosomal RNA is filed under the name uncultured Mortierella. Its description in RNAcentral is "partial 5.8S ribosomal RNA". It matches the Rfam family "5.8S ribosomal RNA", at positions 49 to 115 of the family's 154-position model. From Rfam's summary of the family: 5.8S ribosomal RNA (5.8S rRNA) is a component of the large subunit of the eukaryotic ribosome. It is transcribed by RNA polymerase I as part of the 45S precursor that also contains 18S and 28S rRNA. Lineage: Eukaryota; Fungi; Mortierellomycota; Mortierellomycetes; Mortierellales; Mortierellaceae. The record is from RNAcentral.
CGAAAUGCGAUACGUAAUGUGAAUUGCAGAAUUCGGUGAAUCAUCGAAUCUUUGAACGCAUAUUGCG